GACGAACGCUGGCGGCGUGCCUAAUACAUGCAAGUAGAACGCUGAAGGAGGAGCUUGCUCUUCUGGAUGAGUUGCGAACGGGUGAGUAACGCGUAGGUAACCUGCCUGGUAGCGGGGGAUAACUAUUGGAAACGAUAGCUAAUACCGCAUAACAGUAGAUGUUGCAUGACAUUUACUUAAAAGGUGCAAUUGCAUCACUACCAGAUGGACCUGCGUUGUAUUAGCUAGUUGGUGGGGUAACGGCUCACCAAGGCGACGAUACAUAGCCGACCUGAGAGGGUGAUCGGCCACACUGGGACUGAGACACGGCCCAGACUCCUACGGGAGGCAGCAGUAGGGAAUCUUUGGCAAUGGACGGAAGUCUGACCGAGCAACGCCGCGUGAGUGAAGAAGGUUUUCGGAUCGUAAAGCUCUGUUGUAAGAGAAGAACGAGUGUGAGAGUGGAAAGUUCACACUGUGACGGUAUCUUACCAGAAAGGGACGGCUAACUACGUG
RNAcentral lists this ribosomal RNA (495 nucleotides) under uncultured bacterium. RNAcentral's name for it is "partial 16S ribosomal RNA". It matches the Rfam family "Bacterial small subunit ribosomal RNA", at positions 28 to 507 of the family's 1533-position model. The record is from RNAcentral.